Molecule: ribosomal RNA, 450 nt
Filed under: uncultured bacterium
Lineage: Bacteria
Description: partial 16S ribosomal RNA
Rfam family: Bacterial small subunit ribosomal RNA
Source: RNAcentral
GUGGGGAAUAUUCCGCAAUGGACGAAAGUCUGACGGAGCAACGCCGCGUGAGUGAUGAAGGUUUUCGGACUGUAAAGCUCUGUUGUUUAGGACGAAAGUGCCUGUUGCAAAUAGUUACAGGUAUUGACGGUACUGAACGAGGAAGCCACGGCUAACUACGUGCCAGCAGCCGCGGUAAUACGUAGGUGGCAAGCGUUGUCCGGAAUUAUUGGGCGUAAAGAGCAUGUAGGCGGGAAUCUAAGUCUGUUGUGAAAAUGCGGGGCUCAACCCCGUAUUGCGAUGGAAACUGGGUUUCUUGAGUGCAGGAGAGGAAAGGGGAAUUCCCCGUGUAGCGGUGAAAUGCGUAGAUAUGGGGAGGAACACCAGUGGCGAAGGCGGCUUUCUGGACGGUGUCUGACACUGAGGCGCGAAAGCUAGGGGAGCGAACGGGAUUAGAAACCCUAGUAGUCC